AUGCAGUCGAGCGGAACGACUUAUCUGAACCUUCGGGGAACGUUAAGGGCGUCGAGCGGCGGACGGGUGAGUAAUGCCUAGGAAAUUGCCCUGAUGUGGGGGAUAACCAUUGGAAACGAUGGCUAAUACCGCAUGAUGCCUACGGGCCAAAGAGGGGGACCUUCGGGCCUCUCGCGUCAGGAUAUGCCUAGGUGGGAUUAGCUAGUUGGUGAGGUAAUGGCUCACCAAGGCGACGAUCCCUAGCUGGUCUGAGAGGAUGAUCAGCCACACUGGAACUGAGACACGGUCCAGACUCCUACGGGAGGCAGCAGUGGGGAAUAUUGCACAAUGGGCGCAAGCCUGAUGCAGCCAUGCCGCGUGUGUGAAGAAGGCCUUCGGGUUGUAAAGCACUUUCAGUCGUGAGGAAGGUGGUGUAGUUAAUAGCUGCAUUACUUGACGUUAGCGACAGAAGAAGCACCGGCUAACUCCGUGCCAGCAGCCGCGGUAAUACGGAGGGUGCGAGCGUUAAUCGGAAUUACUGGGCGUAAAGCGCAUGCAGGUGGUUUGUUAAGUCAGAUGUGAAAGCCCGGGGCUCAACCUCGGAAUAGCAUUUGAAACUGGCAGACUAGAGUACUGUAGAGGGGGGUAGAAUUUCAGGUGUAGCGGUGAAAUGCGUAGAGAUCUGAAGGAAUACCGGUGGCGAAGGCGGCCCCCUGGACAGAUACUGACACUCAGAUGCGAAAGCGUGGGGAGCAAACAGGAUUAGAUACCCUGGUAGUCCACGCCGUAAACGAUGUCUACUUGGAGGUUGUGGCCUUGAGCCGUGGCUUUCGGAGCUAACGCGUUAAGUAGACCGCCUGGGGAGUACGGUCGCAAGAUUAAAACUCAAAUGAAUUGACGGGGGGCC
Molecule: ribosomal RNA, 886 nt
Filed under: Vibrio jasicida
Lineage: Bacteria; Pseudomonadati; Pseudomonadota; Gammaproteobacteria; Vibrionales; Vibrionaceae
Description: bacterial SSU rRNA
Rfam family: Bacterial small subunit ribosomal RNA
Source: RNAcentral